CACACUCUGAAAAAGUUUAAAAUUAUUUAAACUUAUUAGAAACAGGGAAACAGAUAAAAGGUAACUAGAAUUUGUGAACUUAUUUAUGUAUUUCUUAUCUGUCAGAUAUUUAUAGACUUGGGAAAAAUGUGCUUCCAGGGAUUAAAUCUAAAAGUCAAACAGUGUUUUGUUUCUGAUUUUGUUUGUUGGCUUGUUUUUUGUUUUUCUUUUGGGUUUUUUUUUGUGCAAGAAUUUAAUGUGAUCCAUUGAAAGGAAUACAAGUGAAGAAGGCCUUUCAGGAAUAUAGAACAAUCUCAAUUAAAUACUGCCUUUUUGCUCCACUCCUCCUUUCCUCAGUUCAGCAGAGAAGCAGCAGCAACUCUAAUUCCCUAAUUCCUGAGGCAGGACAGAACUUGUUGGAGAAGUACAGCCUGCCUCCUCUCCAGGAAACCCCUCCUUGCUUCCUCUCUUGAUGCUGAGAUAAAAAACUGCUGGCAAAGAAGCAGAGCCAAAGGAGGUUUUGGCAUCGAAAAUGGCUCUCGUAGCACUGCCAGGAGAAGGGAAUGCUGGAAAGAAGAUUCCUGGAGAGGGUUGAACUUCACUUUGCACCAUGCAAGCAGCACAACGUGAGGCUGAAGAUGAACAGAUCCUGUCUCAAAACUGCUUGGAGAUCGUAGAUGGAGUAACAUAGAGAGCCUAUGCUUGAAUUUUAUCUAUGGGAAUGGAGUAAAAUGUAUUUACCAUAUUUGCAAAGUGGCAAGCAGUUCAGUGGAGCUUUGGUAUUAAGUAUCAUUUACACUUGCUUUCUGGCCUGUUAUAGUGUCAGUGUAGGCAAAAUUGUCUUCUUCACACAGAUGCAGUAAAAAAUUCUAGCAUGAAGGCUUUUUGAUGCUAAUAAAAACUGUUUGCCUAAGGACAAACUUCAGAGGAAUGCAAAUUUUCCAGUAUCUCCUGAUUCUUGUCAGACUGACUGUGUGUCCCAGAAAUUACUUUUCUUGAGACAUUUCUGUGCUUCUUUUACCAAAAUUCAAGAAUUAAAAAAAAAAAAAAAAAAGCAUUCAUAAUGGGCAUGAAAUAUUAUUUUCAGCUAUCCAAAGUAUUUGUCAAAUCUCUGGAAAAUAUUUGGGGUUUAUCUACAAGUUUAAGCCUUUGGGUUUCUCCAGAUUUGUGGAUGCUACCAUUAAUACUUAGUCAUAGCACAGAGCAGCCCUGUUGCUUUCUUCUGUUGGGUUUUGGGUGUUUUGCCUGCUGCAAGUGAAAACAUAAAAAUAUUAAGAACCAGAAAUGAAUGUGGAAAAAUCUUUGAAAAUAAACUAACUCCAAUGCUUUAAAUUGUUAGAAAUAAGACAUAUGUAAACGAUUUGUUUGUGUUUGUUUAAAGAAGUUCUGUUUAAUGUUAAUUUAGUGAAAUUCAACUGUUGCAUAAGCUUCUAGGAAUUAUUUGAAGAUUCCUAGGAAGAUUAAUUGGUCUUUUUUUUGGAAUGGUACUUGCUUGCUACUUUUUGAAAUAAAGUUGAAGAGAAUGAGACUACAUAAAA
Molecule: long non-coding RNA, 1517 nt
Organism: Haemorhous mexicanus (house finch)
Lineage: Eukaryota; Metazoa; Chordata; Aves; Passeriformes; Fringillidae
Exons: 2
Source: RefSeq, a predicted model, not a curated record